UGUGUGUGUACAUUAAACACUUGCUCUUCAGGUUCCUGUGUGCUCUAGGGUUCUAGGGUUCGGUUAUGAAAAUAUGGUGUGGCGAGUGUACGCGGGGAUUUGAAUGCUGAUGUUGGAAGCAAGAUAAGCAUGUAUAGGCUUUCAGGAUUACUCAAGUCCGUGUUAGAUGAGAUGUGUUUCAUCACCUCACUCAUUUCUGCACCAGUUCUGCAAACUGCACAUUUCUGACUGCGAGGACGUGAUGCGGCUGUUCGUUUUUACAGGAAAUUAUUAACACACAAACACCUGAAAUCCUUUUACUCUUAUUUACUGUCAUUUUUCUUGUGUAAAAUAACCUGAGCGAAAAGAAAACACUGCAUGGAAAAACUAGAAAUAAAUGUAUAAUGUGUAUAAGGUUUGUGUUUGGAUGCAUAGCAGAUAACACAAAUGAUCGAGUCGUGAAACAUUCGAGGUGAUAUUAGUUCAAAAGUCUGUGCUCCUCUUUCUGAAUGUGAUAUCACAGCUAAUUAAGCGCUGUGAGCGGUUUACUUUUUUCUUUAUUGUGUUGCUUGGAAUUCAUUUCAGUGGGUGGGGAGCAACACAUUUUUAUCAUAUUAAUAACACAUUUAUGAUAGUUUCACUGACAAUGAUUAAAAUAAGAUCUCGGAAGCAGGAAGCUGGAGAUCACAACUCUGUCAUUUUCAAUCUCUGUGCUUUUGAGCUACAAAGUGGGAAAAAACGUGGACUCCUCUAUGCUUGUCUUUUGUUAGCGAUGAGCAAGGAGUAACAGUAUUUACCUCAGAACAGUGAAGUGUAGAGUCACUGCCCCAUGAAGUUCC
This is a long non-coding RNA of Ictalurus punctatus (channel catfish), 818 nucleotides long. Lineage: Eukaryota; Metazoa; Chordata; Actinopteri; Siluriformes; Ictaluridae. The record is from Ensembl.